RNAcentral lists this ribosomal RNA (322 nucleotides) under uncultured eukaryote. RNAcentral's name for it is "partial 18S ribosomal RNA". It matches the Rfam family "Eukaryotic small subunit ribosomal RNA", at positions 1470 to 1796 of the family's 1831-position model. The record is from RNAcentral.
CCCUUAGAUGUUCUGGGCCGCACGCGCUACACUGAUGCAUUCAACGAGUUUCUUCCUGGUCCGAGAGGAAUGGGUAACCUUUUGAAAGUGCAUCGUGAUAGGGAUAGACUAUUGCAAUUAUUGGUCUUCAACGAGGAAUUCCUAGUAGACGUAGUUCAUCAGACUGCAUCGAUUACGUCCCUGCCCUUUGUACACACCGCCCGUCGCUCCUACCGAUUGAAUGCUCAGGUGAGCCAUUCGGACUUUCAUCAUGCUGGUUUCCAGUUUUGAUGAAGGAAAGUCUUGCGAACCUUAUCAUUUAGAGGAAGGAGAAGUCGUAACA